AAGGUAUGAUCCAUGGAUCAGGAAACCAGCCUUCCCUAGACAUGGAAUCUGCUGGCACCUUGAUUUUGAACUUCCCAGACUCCAGAACUACUCCUGCCCCUGCCACGAGAACACACCCUUUCCAGUUUGCUGGAGAAAUAUAAGAGAAGUCCAGUGAAAGAGAGCUGAGUUUCCCCAAUGAUGCCAUCAAGAUGAACUAACUACAGUUAACCAGCCAGCUGAUAGCAGAUGCAUGAGUGAGCCCAGCUGAGAGCAGGCUCUUGGUCAGAGGGCCUCAGUUUCCUGCUGACUGUUGGCCAGAGGCUAACCUCAGUUUCUUGCCACCUGGCCACUUCUACAUAGCAGUCUGCUUCAUCAAAAACAGCAAGAGAGAGAGAAUCUGCAAGGAAGAGGAAAGUCAGUCUUUUGCAACUUAAGGACUGAAAUGACAUCCCAUCACUUUUGUUACAUUCAAUUCAUUAGAAACAAGUCAUUAAGUCCAGGGCAUACUCAAGGGAAAGAUAUCACACAAGGGUAUGAGAUUAUAUAGGAGGCAGGGAUCAAUGGGGCCUGUCUUAGGAGUCCAUGUAUCAUAGAGUGGUCAGUUGUUAAUAGUUUAAUAUUGUCUCUCUUUUAUGGAAAUAUUUAAAAAGAUUUUGCUUAUCUAUCACAUUUCAUUACAUAUACUAUGCCAUUACAGCCAAAUGUGAAUAUUGUAAGGUACAUAUGCAAAAAAAUUACAAAAAAUUUGCAUGACAUGGUUAAGCAUCCUCUCUAGAGUACUCUAGCAGGGUUGGUGUCCAACUGUGUUGGGAGCUGUUUUCAGAUUUUGCCCUACCUGUACUUUGCUGUCAUCUAUGAAAAGAAAAAGUGGGUUAUAUCUUUCCGCUGUUCUGAAGUAUGCAUCAAAUAUGAUAAAGAAAGCAAUAAAACUGAGAAAUAAA
Homo sapiens (human) is the source of this 923-nucleotide long non-coding RNA. Ensembl annotates it as adipocyte associated metabolic related lncRNA 1. Its record names the gene ASMER1. Lineage: Eukaryota; Metazoa; Chordata; Mammalia; Primates; Hominidae. The record is from Ensembl.